UUACUUUGAAGAAAUUAGAGUGCUCAAAGCAAGCCUACGCUCUGUAUACAUUAGCAUGGGAUAACAUCAUAGGAUUUCGAUCCUAUUGUGUUGGCCUUCGGGAUCGGAGUAGUGAUUAACAGGGACAGUCGGUGUGAUAAACCGCCCUUUGGGAUAAAAUGGUCGAGAGAGCAAAAGUAAGAAUCCAGA
RNAcentral lists this non-coding RNA (189 nucleotides) under Brassica napus (rape). Its description in RNAcentral is "rRNA SSU_rRNA_eukarya". It matches the Rfam family "Eukaryotic small subunit ribosomal RNA", at positions 752 to 937 of the family's 1831-position model. Lineage: Eukaryota; Viridiplantae; Streptophyta; Magnoliopsida; Brassicales; Brassicaceae. The record is from Rfam by way of RNAcentral.